This 423-nucleotide ribosomal RNA is filed under the name uncultured prokaryote. Its description in RNAcentral is "bacterial SSU rRNA". It matches the Rfam family "Bacterial small subunit ribosomal RNA", at positions 355 to 796 of the family's 1533-position model. The record is from RNAcentral.
UAACGAAUCUUCCGCAAUGCACGAAAGUGUGACGGAGCGACGCCGCGUGCGGGACGAAGCCUUUCGGGGUGUAAACCGCUAAUGGGAUCUAGAAAGUUCUGAUCGGGUCCCGAUAAGGAGCGACUAACUCCGUGCCAGCAGUCGCGGUAAUACGGAGGCUCCGAGCGUUAGGCGGAAUUACUGGGCUUAAAGCGUGUGCAGGCGGCCCGCCAAGUGUCUUGUGAAAGCCCACGGCUCAACCGUGGAACUGCUCGACAUACUGGUGGGCUUGAGUCAUUCAGGGGCUAGCGGAACGAACGGUGGAGCGGUGAAAUGCAUAGAUAUCGUUCGGAACGCCAGAGGCGAAAGCGGCUAGCUGGGAAUGAACUGACGCUCAGACACGAAAGCCAGGGGAGCGAACGGGAUUAGAUACCCCCGUAGUCC